Momordica charantia (bitter melon) is the source of this 1677-nucleotide RNA transcript. It is a transcript of the gene named Thioredoxin superfamily protein, with no coding region annotated. The record is from RefSeq and is a predicted model, not a curated record. NCBI's taxonomy places the organism in Eukaryota, Viridiplantae, Streptophyta, Magnoliopsida, Cucurbitales, Cucurbitaceae.
CUCUGUGAAAGAUGGAGAGACAGAAAUGGAGGCGAGGAUGAUACUGACCUCGCCCUGCUUGGCUGCUUCGAUAGUUGUUCUCACAUCCUUCUCCUUGUGCCCGACGAAUAAUAUCGAGAGGAACCGCAAGGCGAGACGACAUGUCGUUUCCUUUCUCAGUGUGUCGGGAAAUGCCCUUCUCUUCCAGGCGAAGCAUCUGAAACUCCUUUCAGGUUUUCACUGAGGAUUUUUUAGUACCGAGCUUCUGGAAGCACAAUAGGGGGUUGGGUGAUAACUUUUAGAGGAAGGGGGAAGAGGAAAGUAAAAAAAUAUAAUGGGUUCGACGCCCAAACAGCCUUUCUUUUGCUUCAAAUGGCCAUGGGAUGCAGACCCUAAAAAUCCUUUUGACUGUUCGUUUGAGGGUCCUUGGCUGUUCAAAUCAUUGCAAAACGUGGGUGCCUUUGCUUUCAAUUUUGUUAACAAAGUUUCAAAGUCUUCACCUCCAUGGAUCAAUGCUUUUAAGCCAUUGCAUUUCGAAGCCUCAAAUGGUGGAAAUAAGAAAUCUCUGCCUAGAAAGAAGUUGACUCCUGAAGAGCAAGGAGAGGCCGAGCAUAGAGCAUUUGCAUCGGCAUUGGCCAGUGGGAAAGAAGCUACGGUGAUCGAGUUCUACUCGCCCAAAUGUCGGCUCUGCAAUUCCUUGCUGGAUGUUGUUAUGGAGAUGGAGGCAAGAAAUUCAGACUGGCUCAGCAUUGUGAUGGCAGAUGCAGAGAAUGAGAAAUGGCUGCCUGAGCUGCUUCAUUAUGACAUUAGAUACGUUCCUUGCUUCGUGUUGCUGGACAAACACGGCAAGGCACUAGCAAAGACGGGUAUUCCUAGCAGUCGGCUGCACGUAAUUGCUGGUCUUUCUCAUCUUCUCAAUCUGAAGCGCCCAAGAAGUCUCCUUGGAUCAGUUAAUAAGCCACAUUGAGCUUGUUGCCACCACCACCCGCCUUGCCGAGCCCUCCGCAUAUUUGUGCAAGCUGUCUGGAAUGGGUUGGCAUGGAUGGUUCCUUUACAAGGUUGGCUUCAAGAGACUAGCUUUCAGUAGAUUAUAAUGAUUAUUCAGGCACAUCAAAAGCUUGUCUCCAAAAAGACCAGCUUUCACUAGACCAUUAUUAUUAAUCAGGUACAAAAAAGCUUCUCUCCCCUCUCCCUCUGUAGAAAGAAAGCUGGAAUAAAGCUUGGGCAAUCUCAACUUAUAUUUCUCAUGCUUCUCAUUUAAGUGCAUAAUGGUCAUGGGUUUUACGAAGAGCUCUGAAAAUUAUUGGGACCAGAAUUCUAGAGAGAAUAUGUGGUAGAAAAUUGAAUGCUCAGUCAGCUGAAUCAGCCCAAAGGAAAAUGAUGAAUGUUUGAAAGGCUUCACAUAAAAUAAAACCUCCAGCGCCUUCAUUCAUUAAUUCUGGUAUACAUUUGCUUCUGCUGCCACUGCACGUUGGCUAAAUAAAAGCUGGUUGUUGCUUGCGAUUAUCGCAUUUAAUGUGCUCUGAUGCCAGUGUUCCCCAAGAUAACCUGUCGUUUUCUUUUCCCAGGAAAGGAAUAUUUCCAUUUUAAAAGGAAAAGCUGAUCAAAACUAUGGGUGGUCGUUAAGAUAUCUGAUAAGUGAAUUAAAUUUCCUCAUUUCAUAAAUUAAGUGUUUGUGUUGAGUGGUGAUUUAUGCCU